RNAcentral lists this ribosomal RNA (301 nucleotides) under uncultured bacterium. RNAcentral's name for it is "partial 16S ribosomal RNA". It matches the Rfam family "Bacterial small subunit ribosomal RNA", at positions 509 to 809 of the family's 1533-position model. The record is from RNAcentral.
CAGUCGCCACGGUAAAACGAAGGGGGCUAGCGUUGUCCGGAUUUACUGGGCGUAAAGCGCACGUAGGCGGAUCGAUCAGUCAGGGGUGAAAUCCCAGAACUCAACUCUGGAACUGCCUUUGAUACUGUCGAUCUGGAGUAUGGAAGAGGUGAGUGGAAUUCCGAGUGUAGAGGUGAAAUUCGUAGAUAUUCGGAGGAACACCAGUGGCGGAGGCGGCUCACUGGUCCAUUACUGACGCUGAGGUGCGAAAGCGUGGGGAGCAAACAGGAUUAGAGACCCGUGUAGUCCCUGUCUCUUAUAA